RNAcentral lists this ribosomal RNA (253 nucleotides) under uncultured bacterium. Its description in RNAcentral is "partial 16S ribosomal RNA". It matches the Rfam family "Bacterial small subunit ribosomal RNA", at positions 524 to 776 of the family's 1533-position model. The record is from RNAcentral.
UACGUAGGGCGCGAGCGUUGUCCGGAUUUAUUGGGCGUAAAGAGCUCGUAGGCGGCUUGUUGCGUCGUCCGUGAAAACCCACAGCUCAACUGUGGACCUGCGGUCGAUACGGGCAGGCUUGAGUUCGGUAGGGGAGACUGGAAUUCCUGGUGUAGCGGUGAAAUGCGCAGAUAUCAGGAGGAACACCGGUGGCGAAGGCGGCUCUCUGGGCCGAUACUGACGCUGAGGAGCGAAAGCAUGGGGAGCAAACAGG